This 497-nucleotide ribosomal RNA is filed under the name uncultured bacterium. RNAcentral describes it as "partial 16S ribosomal RNA". It matches the Rfam family "Bacterial small subunit ribosomal RNA", at positions 28 to 507 of the family's 1533-position model. The record is from RNAcentral.
GAUGAACGCUGGCGGCGUGCCUAAUACAUGCAAGUCGAGCGAACAGACGAGGAGCUUGCUCCUCUGACGUUAGCGGCGGACGGGUGAGUAACACGUGGAUAACCUACCUAUAAGUCUGGGAUAACUUCGGGAAACCAGAGCUAAUACCGGAUAAUAUAUUGAACCGCAUGGUUCAAUAGUGAAAGACGGUUUUGCUGUCACUUAUAGAUGGAUCCGCGCCGCAUUAGCUAGUUGGUAAGGUAACGGCUUACCAAGGCAACGAUGCGUAGCCGACCUGAGAGGGUGAUCGGCCACACUGGAACUGAGACACGGUCCAGACUCCUACGGGAGGCAGCAGUAGGGAAUCUUCCGCAAUGGGCGAAAGCUUGACGGAGCAACGCCGCGUGAGUGAUGAAGGUCUUCGGAUCGUAAAACUCUGUUAUUAGGGAAGAACAAAUGUGUAAGUAACUAUGCACGUCUUGACGGUACCUAAUCAGAAAGCCACGGCUAACUACGUG